This 581-nucleotide ribosomal RNA is filed under the name uncultured bacterium. RNAcentral describes it as "partial 16S ribosomal RNA". It matches the Rfam family "Bacterial small subunit ribosomal RNA", at positions 355 to 1375 of the family's 1533-position model. The record is from RNAcentral.
UGGGGAAUUUUGGACAAUGGGCGAAAGCCUGAUCCAGCAAUGCCGCGUGUGUGAAGAAGGCCUUCGGGUUGUAAAGCACUUUUGUCCGGAAAGAAAUCCUUGGCUCUAAUACAGUCGGGGGAUGACGGUACCGGAAGAAUAAGCACCGGCUAACUACGUGCCAGCAGCCGCGGUAAUACGUAGGGUGCAAGCGUUAAUCGGAAUUACUGGGCGUAAGCGUGCGCAGGCGGUUUGCUAAGACCGAUGUGAAAUCCCGGGCUCAACCUGGGAACUGCAUUGGUGACUGGCAGGCUAGAGUAUGGCAGAGGGGGGUAGAAUUCCACGUGUAGCAGUGAAAUGCGUAGAGAUGUGGAGGAAUACCGAUGGCGAAGGCAGCCCCCUGGGCCAAUACUGACGCUCAUGCACGAAAGCGUGGGGAGCAAACAGGAUUAGAUACCCUGGUAGUCCACGCCCUAAACGAUGUCAACUAGUUGUUGGGGAUUCAUUUCCUUAGUAACGUAGCUAACGCGUGAAGUUGACCGCCUGGGGAGUACGGUCGCAAGAUUAAACUCAAUGAAUUGACGGGGUCAUAGCUGUUUCCU